This is a long non-coding RNA of Melospiza melodia melodia, 517 nucleotides long. RefSeq lists it as uncharacterized. NCBI's taxonomy places the organism in Eukaryota, Metazoa, Chordata, Aves, Passeriformes, Passerellidae. The record is from RefSeq and is a predicted model, not a curated record. The transcript is spliced from 3 exons.
CUGAGACUGUGAGGACUGGAAGCAGACCCAGCAGUACAUCACAAUCUGCAGAGCUGUGUGUCUGUGCCUGCACCGUGCCAUCCACCUGCAACAGCAAUGGGAGGCACAGGACAGGAUAAUCUGUUUGAUUCGAAAGCGUUAGAACUCACUUCCUAAGGAGCUCCCGGUGGCAAUCAGUACAAAAGUAAAAACCACCCAAAUUGUCUCUCUUGAGAGCCUGACAUGAGUGAGAAACAUGCCCUGAAGUUUGCAUGUGUGAGACCACAGCAAGAAAGACUGAACAAGGGAAGUUAAUAAAUUUACAUUUUCCUGGAUGGACAGAGAUGGAAGCUGGCUCUCUAUGAGAAAGACUGAGAAUCUGUGAUUUGAUUAGCUGUGAACAGAAGCUAGAAGAGGUGAGAAAGGAGGAAAUGAAUGUUGCAGAAUCUGAGAGAAAAAGAUGUGAAAGAUAUGAAGAGAAGAGGAUUCAGGGAAGAGAAUGGUAUCCUUCAUCACCAUGAUUCAGAAGACACCUAAG